UACGUAGGGGGCAAGCGUUUGUCCGGAUUUAUUGGGCGUAAAGAGCGUGUAGGCGGCCAUACAGGUCAGCUGUGAAAACUCGAGGCUCAACCUCGAGACGUCGGUUGAAACCGUAUGGCUAGAGUCCGGAAGAGGAGAGUGGAAUUCCCGGUGUAGCGGUGAAAUGCGCAGAUAUCAGGAGGAACACCGGUGGCGAAGGCGGGUCUCUGGGCCAUUACUGACGCUGAGGAGCGAAAAGCGUGGGGAGCGAACAGG
RNAcentral lists this ribosomal RNA (255 nucleotides) under uncultured bacterium. Its description in RNAcentral is "partial 16S ribosomal RNA". It matches the Rfam family "Bacterial small subunit ribosomal RNA", at positions 524 to 776 of the family's 1533-position model. The record is from RNAcentral.